This 253-nucleotide ribosomal RNA is filed under the name uncultured bacterium. RNAcentral describes it as "partial 16S ribosomal RNA". It matches the Rfam family "Bacterial small subunit ribosomal RNA", at positions 524 to 776 of the family's 1533-position model. The record is from RNAcentral.
UACGAAGGGGGCUAGCGUUGCUCGGAAUGACUGGGCGUAAAGGGCGCGUAGGCGGACUGCUUUGUCGGGCGUGAAAUUCCAGGGCCCAACCUUGGGGCUGCGUUCGAGACGGGUAUUCUUGAGUUCGGAAGAGGGUCGUGGAAUUCCCAGUGUAGAGGUGAAAUUCGUAGAUAUUCGCAAGAACACCAGUGGCGAAGGCGGCUCACUGGCCCGGUACUGACGCUGAGGUGCGAAAGCGUGGGGAGCAAACAGG